This 254-nucleotide ribosomal RNA is filed under the name uncultured bacterium. Its description in RNAcentral is "partial 16S ribosomal RNA". It matches the Rfam family "Bacterial small subunit ribosomal RNA", at positions 524 to 776 of the family's 1533-position model. The record is from RNAcentral.
UACGUAGGGGGCUAGCGUUGUCCGGAUUUAUUGGGCGUAAAGAGCGUGUAGGCGGUCCGUUAAGUCGGCUGUGAAAGUCCAAGGCUCAACCUUGGGAUGCCGGUCGAUACUGCCGGACUAGAGUUCGGAAGAGGCGAGUGGAAUUCCCGGUGUAGCGGUGAAAUGCGCAGAUAUCGGGAGGAACACCUAUGGCGAAGGCAGCUCGCUGGGACGUUACUGACGCUGGAGACGCGAAAGCGUGGGGAGCAAACAGG